RNAcentral lists this long non-coding RNA (247 nucleotides) under Lathyrus oleraceus (garden pea). RNAcentral describes it as "Pisum sativum (pea) long non-coding RNA (PSAT_LNC003831)". The record is from RNAcentral. Lineage: Eukaryota; Viridiplantae; Streptophyta; Magnoliopsida; Fabales; Fabaceae.
UUUUUCAUCUCCGUCAUUCAUGUGCUUUAUGUUAUGGAUCUUAUGUAAAUAUUAUUUGAUUGAAUGGUAGACUAUAUAUUAAGAUUACACUUAAACUGACAUAAGGUAGGCAUGGUGAUAGGAUACUGGAUUUGGGCCUAGGCCCAACUUGAUGUUUGGAAUGGAGAGAGUGGUGACAUGGAAGAUUCUGUCAGGGAAAGUUAAAGAGGGAUAAAGGAAAGAAUUAAGGGUUAUGAUUGUUAAAAAG